Molecule: transfer RNA, 90 nt
Filed under: Victivallales bacterium
Lineage: Bacteria; Pseudomonadati; Lentisphaerota; Lentisphaeria; Victivallales
Description: tRNA-Ser
Rfam family: tRNA
About the family: Transfer RNA (tRNA) molecules are approximately 80 nucleotides in length.
Source: RNAcentral
GGAGAGGUGGCUGAGUGGUCGAAAGCACAGGUUUGCUAAACCUGCGUACAUGCAAGUGUACCGGGGGUUCGAAUCCCCCCCUCUCCGCCA